GUCCUGGGAUAGCUCAUUUGGUAGAGCAUGAGACUCUUAAUCUCAGGGUUGUGGGUUCGAGACCCACACUGGGCA
This 75-nucleotide transfer RNA is filed under the name Podarcis lilfordi (Lilford's wall lizard). Its description in RNAcentral is "tRNA.Lys". The stretch from base 10 to 67 matches the Rfam family "tRNA", at positions 8 to 63 of the family's 71-position model. Rfam says of the family: Transfer RNA (tRNA) molecules are approximately 80 nucleotides in length. Their secondary structure includes four short double-helical elements and three loops (D, anti-codon, and T loops). The record is from RNAcentral. Lineage: Eukaryota; Metazoa; Chordata; Lepidosauria; Squamata; Lacertidae.